GUGGCUGUAGCUCAGCUGGUAGAGCCCUGGAUUGUGAUUCCAGUUGUCGUGGGUUCGAGCCCCAUCAGCCACCCCA
This 76-nucleotide transfer RNA is filed under the name Methylophilus sp. RNAcentral's name for it is "tRNA-His". It matches the Rfam family "tRNA". Rfam says of the family: Transfer RNA (tRNA) molecules are approximately 80 nucleotides in length. Their secondary structure includes four short double-helical elements and three loops (D, anti-codon, and T loops). RNAcentral also lists the same sequence under 19 other names. Lineage: Bacteria; Pseudomonadati; Pseudomonadota; Betaproteobacteria; Nitrosomonadales; Methylophilaceae. The record is from RNAcentral.